AUACGGAGGGGGCUAGCGUUGUUCGGAAUCACUGGGCGUAAAGCGCGCGUAGGUGGAUCAAUUAGUUGAGGGUGAAAUCCCGGGGCUCAACCUCGGAACUGCCUUCAAUACUGUUGAUCUUGAGACCGAGAGAGGUGAGUGGAAUUCCUAGUGUAGAGGUGAAAUUCGUAGAUAUUAGGAAGAACACCAGUGGCGAAGGCGGCUCACUGGCUCGGUACUGACGCUGAGGUGCGAAAGCGUGGGGAGCAAACAGGAUUAGAAACCCUAGUAGUCC
RNAcentral lists this ribosomal RNA (274 nucleotides) under uncultured bacterium. Its description in RNAcentral is "partial 16S ribosomal RNA". It matches the Rfam family "Bacterial small subunit ribosomal RNA", at positions 523 to 796 of the family's 1533-position model. The record is from RNAcentral.